RNAcentral lists this ribosomal RNA (470 nucleotides) under uncultured bacterium. RNAcentral describes it as "partial 16S ribosomal RNA". It matches the Rfam family "Bacterial small subunit ribosomal RNA", at positions 355 to 817 of the family's 1533-position model. The record is from RNAcentral.
UAGGGAAUCUUCCACAAUGGACGCAAGUCUGAUGGAGCAACGCCGCGUGAGUGAAGAAGGUUUUCGGACCGUAAAGCUCUGUUGUUGGUGAAGAAGGAUAGAGGUAGUAACUGGCCUUUAUUUGACGGUAAUCAACCAGAAAGUCACGGCUAACUACGUGCCAGCAGCCGCGGUAAUACGUAGGUGGCAAGCGUUGUCCGGAUUUAUUGGGCGUAAAGCGAGCGCAGGCGGAAGAAUAAGUCUGAUGUGAAAGCCCUCGGCUUAACCGAGGAAUUGCAUCGGAAACUGUUUUCUUGAGUGCAGAAGAGGAGAGUAGAACUCCAUGUGUAGCGGUGGAAUGCGUAGAUAUAUGGAAGAAUACCAGUGGCGAAGGCGGCUCUCUGGUCUGCAACUGACGCUGAGGCUCGAAAGCAUGGGUAGCGAACAGGAUUAGAUACCCUUGGUAGUCCAUGCCGUAAACGAUGAGUGCU